CCGAAUCAGCAUAGAAAGGAAGAGGUUAAAAAUGUGAAUUCAUAAGAACUACAAAACAAAAAAUCCGGCCGAUUCCUUUUUGUUUGUUAAAUACAUCAAAAGCUCAUGAGAAAAACUAGUAACCUUGCUUGAUCCCCACACAAGUGACCAAGUAGUUUUUCUUGUCCAGCAUCAUGAUGGCAAUGGUAGAAGAAAAAGGCUCAGCAAAAGGGAAAGCUUGCUUCUUUAUAGUAGGUGAUGAUCCAACAGAUGUGAAGGCAUGACUGAAAGUGUGGGCACAGGCAGUAGCAAUAGCAUCUGCCACCAAAUACGGCUCAUGACACCCAAUUUUCUUGAUAGCUAAUACCUACUUCCUUUUUUUGGCGAUUGAGACAGUGUACAUUAUUAUUAUCAUUAUUUUUUCCCACCACUAUGAUCGGUUAUAGAAUGAAUUUCAUUGUAUUUUUCUUUGGAGUUCUUGUCAUAAAUUUUUUCCCAAGGGUGCUGGAUUUUCAGGUUCAUGUGAUGGUAGCUUUUCCUCUGUACAGUGGAAGUGUAUGUACUUUUUUUGGUUUAAACUGCUUACUGGUUUAAUAAGAUUAAGAAGUUGUAAUAACACUUGAACAAGAGAAAUGUGAUGUGUUUCCUCUUCUAUAAAAAGAAAAAAGAGAGAAAU
RNAcentral lists this long non-coding RNA (655 nucleotides) under Medicago truncatula (barrel medic). RNAcentral's name for it is "lncRNA gene42946". The record is from RNAcentral. Lineage: Eukaryota; Viridiplantae; Streptophyta; Magnoliopsida; Fabales; Fabaceae.